This 250-nucleotide ribosomal RNA is filed under the name uncultured bacterium. Its description in RNAcentral is "partial 16S ribosomal RNA". It matches the Rfam family "Bacterial small subunit ribosomal RNA", at positions 524 to 773 of the family's 1533-position model. The record is from RNAcentral.
GACGAACCGAGCGAACGUUGUUCGGAAUCACUGGGCUUAAAGGGCGCGUAGGCGGGCUGUCAAGUCUGGGGUGAAAUCCCGCGGCUCAACCGUGGAACUGCCUCAGAUACUGACGGCCUCGAGGGAGAUAGGGGCGAGCGGAACUAAUGGUGGAGCGGUGAAAUGCGUUGAUAUCAUUAGGAACUCCGGUGGCGAAGGCGGCUCGCUGGAUCUUUUCUGACGCUGAGGCGCGAAAGCUAGGGGAGCAAAC